CAAUAACCAGCCAAAACAUAAUAAUCUUUUUAGCUGAGACAUUUGUAUACUCCAAUAAACUUUAUAGAAAUGAAGAGGCAAACUAUGAGAUGUAGGGGAAAGAAUUAACUUCAGGCAUGAUGAUCAAACUUUAACACUUGAAACUAAUAUUGUUUGCAGGUAAAUGAUAAAGAAAGAUGAGAGUAGAAACAACAAUUUUAUCUUCUUUCCUUAAUGCAAAAUAUAAUACGACUUUGAACAAAUAUCAUCUGAUUACCUAUCAAUAAG
Molecule: unclassified non-coding RNA, 267 nt
Filed under: Hevea brasiliensis (rubber tree)
Lineage: Eukaryota; Viridiplantae; Streptophyta; Magnoliopsida; Malpighiales; Euphorbiaceae
Source: RNAcentral